AUUGAACGCUGGCGGAAUGCUUUACACAUGCAAGUCGAACGGCAGCACGGACUUCGGUCUGGUGGCGAGUGGCGAACGGGUGAGUAAUGUAUCGGAACGUGCCCAGUCGUGGGGGAUAACGUAGUGAAAAUUACGCUAAUACCGCAUACGAUCUAUGGAUGAAAGCGGGGGAUCGCAAGACCUCGCGCGAUGGGAGCGGCCGAUAUCAGAUUAGGUAGUUGGUGGGGUAAAGGCCCACCAAGCCAACGAUCGGUAGCUGGUCUGAGAGGACGACCGGCCACACUGGACCGGAGACAAGGUCCAGACUCCUACGGGAGGCAGCAGUGGGGAAUUUUGGACAAUGGGCGAAAGCCUGAUCCAGCCAUUCCGCGUGCAGGAUGAAGGCCCUCGGGUUGUAAACUGCUUUUGUACAGAACGAAAAGGUUUCUACUAAUACUAGGAGCUCAUGACGGUACUGUAAGAAUAAGCACCGGCUAACUACGUGCCAGCCGCCGCAGUAA
Molecule: ribosomal RNA, 500 nt
Filed under: uncultured bacterium
Lineage: Bacteria
Description: partial 16S ribosomal RNA
Rfam family: Bacterial small subunit ribosomal RNA
Source: RNAcentral